AUUGAACGCUGGCGGCAGGCCUAACACAUGCAAGUCGAACGAGUGGCGGACGGGUGAGUAAUGUCUGGGAAACUGCCUGAUGGAGGGGGAUAACUACUGGAAACGGUAGCUAAUACCGCAUACCAUCAGAUGUGCCCAGAUGGGAUUAGCCAGUUGGUGGGGUACCGGCUCACCAAGGCGACCAUCCCUCGCUGGUCUGAGAGGAUGACCAGCCACACGUGAACUGAGACACGGUCCAGACUCCUACGGGAGGGUGCAGUGGGGAAUAUUGCAAAAUGGUCGCAAGCCUGGUGCAGCCAUGCCGCGUGUAUGAAGAAGGCCUUCGGGUGGUAAAGUACUUUCAGCGGGGAGGCGUUACCCGCAGAAGAAGCACCGGCUAACUCCAUGCCAGCAGCCGCGGUAAUAC
Molecule: ribosomal RNA, 406 nt
Filed under: uncultured bacterium
Lineage: Bacteria
Description: partial 16S ribosomal RNA
Rfam family: Bacterial small subunit ribosomal RNA
Source: RNAcentral